CUGCGGUGAAUACGUUCCCGGGUCUUGUACACACCGCCCGUCAAACCAUGAAAGUGACCAACACCCGAAGUCCGAUUCGUCGGUCUAAGGUGGGGGGCAUGAUUGGGGUU
This 110-nucleotide ribosomal RNA is filed under the name uncultured bacterium. Its description in RNAcentral is "partial 16S ribosomal RNA". It matches the Rfam family "Bacterial small subunit ribosomal RNA", at positions 1357 to 1482 of the family's 1533-position model. The record is from RNAcentral.